This is a long non-coding RNA of Musa acuminata AAA Group (dessert banana), 491 nucleotides long. RefSeq lists it as uncharacterized. NCBI's taxonomy places the organism in Eukaryota, Viridiplantae, Streptophyta, Magnoliopsida, Zingiberales, Musaceae. The transcript is spliced from 2 exons. The record is from RefSeq and is a predicted model, not a curated record.
GAGAGAGGGAACAAUGGCAAGCGAUGAUCGGAUGGGUUACAUGGCGGUGGUGGCCGUUUCCUGCGGCAUGGCGCUCGUCGGGUUGCAGCUUCACAAGCGCUUGACAUCGGAGUUCAUGAAGAAGGUGGAACUGUCGAUCGGUGGUAAGAGGCCUAAGAAGAAGGUGAGAUUCGCCGACGACGUGGUCGAGCCGGCCAGAACGAAAACCGUAGGGGGAAGACCGAGCGUCCACGCUUGAAACAGAGAGCAACUCUUUUAACUGGUGAUGCCGCAAGCUUGGAUGGUAGCUUUUUGGGCUCCUGCUGAUGCAUCUGCUCGUAAUGUUUGAGGGGACGGGUGGGUUUCUGCAAAACUCACUGACCCAAGACUUGAUAGUAUUAUUUGGAAGGGAGAUGACUUGAUACUGUUUGGUGCGUAGCAGAUAGAUAGAUGCCUUCCUUGUAAACUUGCUACCUACCUACCUACCUACUACAUGGGCUGUUUGUCUUGCA